RNAcentral lists this long non-coding RNA (2515 nucleotides) under Homo sapiens (human). RNAcentral's name for it is "HSALNT0378841". The record is from RNAcentral. Lineage: Eukaryota; Metazoa; Chordata; Mammalia; Primates; Hominidae.
CAAGAAUUAUCAUCAAGAGCAGCAGGUUUUAUAAGAUACAUGGACCUAUUUGGCAUUUACCAGCCCAUGCCGCUAGGAUAGAGGGACAGGGCUGGGCCCCAAGUGUGGGCUUCCCGGAAGAGCCAAGCACCGGCUGCUCAUAUGGGAUGGGUGGGGGUGGUGCAGGUGCCCUGCAUGGGUUCCACUGCCCUAAAGAGGGUACAAAGGCCACACCUCCGUGUGUCUGCCAGGGCUGGGUUCAGAGCCUCCCUGGCUUCCUGGGCACUCUGCCUAUCACACAGCGAUUCCAAUAUGAUCACAUGUUCAGAACAGCCACACUUGUCAAAGCAAGGAGAGAACACUUCAGCAACGUUCAAAAACAUGUCUCCAGGGAUUAAAAAAAAAACACGGAAAGCUUCAUUUUCCUCCCUAGUGGGGAAGUCUUCCUUACUCACAGCCUCUUCCUGAGUUGGUGUCUGUCGUGAAGCAUUCUUUGGAAGCAUAGUAAGCGGAGGGUUUAAUUUACCAUAGUCGUACACAUUUGCACAGAAUCUAAAGUUUGCAGUGCGUUUCAUCAUCUUUAUGUGAAUCUCAUGCAGCUCUUACAGGGAAAACAGGAAGAACUGGCCCCAUUUUCUAAAUGUGGAGACAGGAGGAGGUGAGAUGGCUCGCCUCUGCCCAGCCGACUGGGAAAUGCAGAGCUCAGAGAGACAGCAAGUCAGGAGAUGUUGAUCCAGGGAGCUUUUCACUCUGCCACCCACCCCAUCGAUGGAAGCACCGACAUUAUCAAGGCUGCAUUUAGAUUUCAAAACAAAAGCAAGCAAACAUGCCGGGCUCGUGGUAUGCUGUUGUUUUAACCGAAAUGAUACAGCUGAAAGGGUGAGCAGCCAUCAGUGCUGUGAGCGAAGCGUGAUCACACAUCUUGUAUGUUUAGCAACUCAGGAGGUAGCUGAGCCUGGAAGUGACUUUCCUGGUAUGUAGCAAUUCAGAGAAUACAAAACCACAUUCAUUAUCUGAAAUGGGCUCAGCUGCUUCUGUGUUUUAUCAUAUAGAGCUGGGAACUUUGAUGUGUGUGGUGUGUGCGUGUUUUGCUGCAUAUACAGAUAAUCACACAACUGGAGGCUUCAGCCUUGCUGUUUACACACACACACACACACACACCCCAGCAGAUACAUCACACACAGACUUCUCACCUGUUACGUUACUAACAGUGGUGCUGGUUUGUUUGAACAGUGUUUGAACUUAUCAAUAACCUUCCUCCAGAAGGCUCAGCAUAGCUAUAGCAUAUGCUGUGUGUGGAAAAUAUAACCUAAGAAACAGAAUGGAAUUGAAUCAUGACCACUAUUGCUAUGAGACAGAAUCCACAGCGAUGGAGUGGGUGCUGGGGUCAGACUGCCUGAGUGUGUACCCUAGGUGAGUCACAUAAUAGCUGGGUGAAUGGCCAAGUUUUCACCUUUUUUCCCUCAUUUGGAAAAUGGGAUGAUAAUAGGAGCUAUCCUGAAGGGUGAUGAUGAGGGUUAAAUUAACAAUAUAGGUAAAGGCUUAGAACAGUGUGUGGCAGAUGGUAGGUAAGCCCUUAAUAAAUAUAAAAUAUCAUUAUUUGUGUCCAUCAUUUGAGAUAUAUCUCACAUCUUAUCCAGAGGACUCCCCAAACACUCGUGUUGUCACUUCUCUUUCCUGUCUCUGGGUUCCUCUACAAGUCAGUUUUGUACCAUGCAGUCUCGCAUUUGAUGACAUGCAGCAUUACUUAGUUCUGUGAAUGAUUCGUGUGUCUUAAUGUCACUUCCCCAACAGACUGUAAAUUUCUUGAUGGCAAGAACCAUGUAACUGGUUUUUGUUAGAUUUCUGCAACUCAAGACCCAAUCCUGGGCAACUGUUGGACACUUAAACAUCCUUCAUCACUAGCUGCGUUCAUCACUAGGAAAAAGUAAGAGAAAUCUGAUGGUAUGGGAUUGUAAGUGGGUAUUAGAUCCAACAGCUGAAACUUAAGAUGUGAAGAUGUAUAUUGACACACAUGUGCGUACAAAAUGUUUAUAGCAGCUUUAUUGAUAAUAGCCAAAAACCAGGAACAACCCGGAUGUCCUUCAACAAGGGAAGGGUGACCCAGCCCGUGAUGCAUCCGUCACACUGUGGAUUGCUGCUCAGCAACGAGGAGGCACAGACUCGAUACGGGAGCCAGCCUGGGUGACGCUCCAGAGAACUACCCUGAGUGGAGAAGGGCAGUCCCACCGUGUGAUUCCAUUAUUAUCACAUUCUUGAAAUGACAGAAUUAUAGAAAGGAGAACAGAGGAGUGGCUGCCAGAGUUUAAGGAGGGAAUGGGGAAAGGGGGAAGAGCAGCAUGCGGGAUCCUUGUGACGGAAGCGUUUUGUGUCGUGUGGGUGUCUGUCAGUUUCCUAGCUGUGAUACUGUACCAUUGUCUUGUAAGAUGCUGCCAUCGGUGGAAACUGGGUAAAGCAUAUAGGGGACCUCUCUGUAUGAUUUCUUACAACUGCAUGUGAAUUUACAGUGGUCUCAAAAUAAAGCAUUUAAUUAAAC